AGUGAACGCUGGCGGUAGGCCUAACACAUGCAAGUCGAACGGCAGCACAGUAAGAGCUUGCUCUUACGGGUGGCGAGUGGCGGACGGGUGAGGAAUACAUCGGAAUCUACUUUUUCGUGGGGGAUAACGUAGGGAAACUUACGCUAAUACCGCAUACGACCUACGGGUGAAAGCAGGGGAUCUUCGGACCUUGCGCGAUUGAAUGAGCCGAUGUCGGAUUAGCUAGUUGGCGGGGUAAAGGCCCACCAAGGCGACGAUCCGUAGCUGGUCUGAGAGGAUGGAGAGGCCAAGGGGGAAAGGAGAGCGGGCCCAGCCCCCACGGGGAGGCAACAUGGGGGAUUUUUGGAAAAGGGGGGCAAGCCUGAACCCCCCAUCGCGGGGGGGGAAAAAAGGCUUUUGGGUUGUAAGGCCCUUUUGUGGGGAAAAAAAAGCAACAGGUUAAAACCCCGCUGUUCGGAGGGAACCAAAAGAAAAAGCACCGGCUAACUUCGU
Molecule: ribosomal RNA, 492 nt
Filed under: uncultured bacterium
Lineage: Bacteria
Description: partial 16S ribosomal RNA
Rfam family: Bacterial small subunit ribosomal RNA
Source: RNAcentral